CCAAUAGCGUAUAUUAAAGUUGUUGCAGUUAAAAAGCUCGUAGUUGAAUUUCGGGAUCAAUUUAUUGGUCGUGCAAUAGUACGUACUGGUAUUAUUGAUUCCUACCUUCUGACGAACCAUGAUGUCAUUAAUUUGGUGUUAUGGGGAAUCAGGACUGUUACUUUGAAAAAAUUAGAGUGUUUAAAGCAGGCUCACGCUUGAAUACAUUAGCAUGGAAUAACGAAAUAGGACGUUUGAUUCUAUUUUGUUGGUUUCUAGGAUCGACGUAAUGAUUAAUAGGGAUAGUUGGGGGCAUUAGUAUUCAAUUGUCAGAGGUGAAAUUCUUGGAUUUAUUGAAGACUAACUACUGCGAAAGCAUUUGCCAAGGAUGUUUUCAUUAAUCAAGAACGAAAGUUAGGGGAUCGAAGACGAUCAGAUACCGUCGUAGUCUUAACCAUAAACUAUGCCGACUAGGGAUCGGAUGAUGUUAAUUUUUUAAUGACUCAUUCGGCGCCUUACG
This 499-nucleotide ribosomal RNA is filed under the name uncultured Glomeromycotina. RNAcentral's name for it is "partial small subunit ribosomal RNA". It matches the Rfam family "Eukaryotic small subunit ribosomal RNA", at positions 591 to 1092 of the family's 1831-position model. The record is from RNAcentral. Lineage: Eukaryota; Fungi; Glomeromycota.